AAUCCUCCGGACAGAAUAACUCGCAAACGGAAAAAUACCAUAUGGGCUCUGACGAAAGGUUAUCGCCAGAGCGUGCCCACCUCCAUUAGGUAGUUGGUGAAUAUGUCCACCCAAGCCGACCCUCCAUAACCUGGUUGAAAAAAAUGAUCAACCAAACUGGAAUAAACCGGCCAGACCCCUACGGAGAGGCAGCAGUGGGGAAUCGUAGACAAUGGGAGCAACCCCUGGCUAGACAAGCCACAUGAGUGAUGAAGGCCUUAAGGUUGUAAAACUCUUCAGCUGAGAAAAUAAUGACGCUAACAGACAAAAAGAUAGGCUAAUCCAUGCCAGCAGCCGCAGUAAAACGGAGAUGGAUAACGUAGUUCGAAAAAAAUGGGGUAAAGCGCACGUAGGCGGACCAGAAAGUUGGGGGUGAAAUCCCGGGGCUCAACCCCGGAACUGCCUACAAAACUAUUGGUCUGGAGUGCGAAAGAGGUGAGUGGAAUUCCGAGUGUAGAGGUGAAAUUCGUAGAUAUUCGGAGGAACACCAGUGGCGAAGGCGGCUCACUGGCUCGAUACUGACGCUGAGGUGCGAAAGCGUGGGGAGCAAACAGGAUUAGAUACCCAGGUAGUCCAAGGGCGAAUUCCACAGUGGAUAUCAAGCGAAUCGAUACCGUCGACCUCGAGGGGGGGCCCGGUACCCAGCUUUUGCCCCCUUUGUUUAGAAA
Molecule: ribosomal RNA, 707 nt
Filed under: Prevotella melaninogenica
Lineage: Bacteria; Pseudomonadati; Bacteroidota; Bacteroidia; Bacteroidales; Prevotellaceae
Description: bacterial SSU rRNA
Rfam family: Bacterial small subunit ribosomal RNA
Source: RNAcentral